RNAcentral lists this long non-coding RNA (1954 nucleotides) under Mus musculus (house mouse). RNAcentral's name for it is "long non-coding RNA chr7:34908683-34910637". The record is from RNAcentral. Lineage: Eukaryota; Metazoa; Chordata; Mammalia; Rodentia; Muridae.
GAUUCAGCUCAUUUUAAGAAAUAAAAGUAAUUAUCACCUGUGCCACCCGGCCGGCCGGCUCUGUACAUGGAGAGGAAAACAAUUUCAGAACUUUAUUUCCUAUAUUGAAUGUCGAUAAUUGGAUGUAUUUAUAAGUCUCGCUGGAAGAAAGCAGCUUGUGAUUUCAAGACAAGAAAACAGUCUUCCAAACACCGAAAAACAAUAUAUUCCCCAUUUUCACACACACACAAAGAGCUUGUUUCUCCGAGGUGUUGAAGGGGCUGCCGGAAUGAUUUGCUUUUCUGAAGCUCUCGUUCCAUUUCUCAUCUGGAAUUGCCUCGUAGACCCUGGCAAAGCACCCAGCAGGGACCACUUCAUCUGACACAGUGACGGGGGCUUCCCAGGGAAGGCCCCCUCAGCUGCUCCCUGCCUCUUUUCUGCAGGAAGAUGGAUGCCCAGAUGAACUGGGCUAGGAAAGGAGGGCAAGAGGGUUCGGGAUGUGAUGGAGGGCCUUCCUGGGGCUGAUAGUGUGGCCCUGGAGAACAUUGCAGGCCACGUUGACCCUAGAAACAGGGAAGCUAAGGUUAGCCCAGCCAUUAUCACAAUGGCCCUCUAGUACCAUGACAGGACAGCCACCUCAGUAUGUGCAGUGGUUUGAAGGAGAAAUGCUCUCUAUAGACACAUGCCUGGCCACUUGGUAAAGGUGCUGUUUUGGGAGAUGGCUGAACCUUUGGAGUGUGGCCUAGUUCACAGAAGCAGGUCUCUUGGGGGGAUGGGAGGGGGAAAUGUUUGAAGGUGAAGCUCUGGCCUGAGCUUUCUGCUUCCUGAUCCACUAAUAUGUUAGGAGCUGCAGCCCUGUGCUCCUGCUGCUGUAGAUGGAGCCAUCCUGGGAAUCAUGCAAUUCCUGCUGUGAUGGACUAUGGCCCCUUGCUCUAGUUUUGUUUCUGAUGCUCUGAUGGGUACUCUGGCGGAAAGCAACUUAGUGGAGAAAGGGGCCUAUUUCUGUUAAUGAUUUUCUAGGUUGCAAUCCACAGCUUUGGGGAAGUCAAGGCAAGAACGUCACACAGCUAGUGACAUCAUAUUCACAGUCAAGGGCAGAGAGGCAUGAAUGCACGCAUGCUCACAUGCUCGUCUGCCUGUGCUCAGUUCUCUGUCUCAUAUAGGUCAGGACCACCUGCCUAGGGGAUGGAGCCACCUACAGUGGACUGGUUGCUCCCACAUCAAUAAACUUAAUUCAGAUAAUCCCUUACUGUGAGGCAUAACUCAACUUAAAGUACCUCCUUGAGACUCUCCAAGCAAUUCUGGGUGUGUCAAGUUGACAACUCAAGAGAACCAUCACAGCCUCUAGGAACAUGGGCCCCAAUUAACUGUUCCUCUUUUAAAUUACUCCUGUCAGGUUUGGGGCCACAGCGACAGGUAAAGUAACUAAUAUAUCAUGUCCUGUCUGUUGCAUGCCUUCCUGUCCCACCUGGGAGAAAUGAGUAUGGAAUACAUCCUCCUGUCCCCUACGUGGCCGCACAUGCCCCAUUUUGACAUGAGUCAAUGUGAGUCAAAGACCUAGUGGUCAGCGACGUCCACUGAGCUGUAGGGGAGUGGUGACUUAGGCAGUGGGGGUGGGUAGGACAGGGUAAGGUGAUCUAACACAGUGCCACAGGGAGAAGGGAGGACCUUGGCUAGGAUGGCAUUCCUUCAGGGGUAGCAAGGACAGCGGACUUCUGGAGAGUAAUAUUGCAUUGGAACCUGGGCUAAUGAAGCAGGUACCUCUCGGCCACCUGUAGGCCAUCACGAGGCCAGAGCUUGUCUCAGAGGGGACCCGUGACCUUGGAGGUGAGGCACAGUGUGAGGCAUGAGCGCACUGCCCGGCUCACUUCCUCAGCUGAUUUACACACUCCCACGCCGACUCUCUAAAAUCAAUCUUUCCCCAAUUGCCUCCUGGCUCUCAGCAGCGUCUGGGUCUGCCCUGCAUGAGUAACUC